Molecule: long non-coding RNA, 1567 nt
Organism: Equus caballus (horse)
Lineage: Eukaryota; Metazoa; Chordata; Mammalia; Perissodactyla; Equidae
Source: Ensembl
ACUAACGAGAGGAGGAAACUAAGGCUCAAAAAGUAGAGAAGCAUCCCCAAAGUCGUACAACCAGUGAGAGACAGAGGUAGAAUUCCAUCCUGGUUCUACUCUAGAAGCUUGAACUCUCAGUUGUAUUGGCCUCUUUGGAUGAUGGGCCUUCCCAGAAAGAUUAACUCCUCCAGUUUCCAUGUUUCCUAGAGUUUGAGUGAGAGCCUUCUAUGCACCAGGCUGCAUAUCCAAGACUGGUUCAAGGAUCAGGAAAAGUUAAAAAUGGAUAAAAAGGAAGGCGAGCCUGGUAACAUAGCAGUUAAGUUUGCAUGCUCUGCUUCCACGGCCUGGGGUUUGCCAUUUGUGAUCCCAGAUGUAGACCUACACACUGCUCAUCAAACCAUGCUGUGGUGGCAUCCCACAUACAAAAUAGAAGACUGGCACAGAUGUUAGCUCAGUGACAAUCUUCCUCAAGCAAAAUGCUGAAGCUUGGCAACAGAUGUUAGCUAAUGGCUAAUCUUCUUCACCAAAAAAAAAAAAGAAAAAAAGGAUAAAAACGUACAGCUGAAGACUGACAUUUUGAUGGAAUGAAAAACGAUGGAUUUCUAGGGGAAAGACUGGUUAUAUUAUUUUAUUAUAAUGCAUACACAUGUGUGUAUAAUACACACACAUGAGAUUAUAUAUUUAAGCCAUUAAUGUUUUAGGAUAAAAUGCUCAAAGCAUUUUCUCUCUAUAUUAUAUACAAUAUAUUAAUGCAGAUAUAUGUAUAUAUAGGCAGAUAUCUAGAUAUAGAGAUAGUAACUUUACACCACAAUAAUACUAGCACAGCCAUUUGGGGCUUACAAUAGUGAGCAUUCUAGUACACUAAGUGAAUGAAGCUGAAAUUAAACAGUGUCUCUAACAGAGUGCCUGUUACAUAGUGGAUACUCAGUAAGUAUUAGUUGUAUAAAUAAGUUUUUGCAUCAUUUUCUCCUUUAGUUGGCAUUUAUGGAUUACUUACUAUGUGCUUCACGUGAGCCCUAAAUGCUGCCUGGAAAGCUUUCUGUGUUCUAUCUCAUUUUGCAUACAGCUUUUUCAAAACUUCUUACCUGUCAUCAGACCUGUCCUCUCACUUAGCACUACCACCUCUGAUCAUAGCAUAUAAACUUGCCCACUAACUCACCAAGGAAGGAGGAAAACAAUCUAGUAAUGUUUUAACAGUUUUACUGCGUUAUAGUUAAUAUACCAAAAAAUUCACCCAUUGUAACUCUAAAUUUAGAUAACUUACAGGAAAUAUUUACAGUUGUGCAAACAUCACCACAAUCCAGUUUAAGAACACUUUUGCUAUCGAUAAAAGUUCUCUCAUGCUCAUUUUUUAACAGCUUUAUUGUCUAAUUGUCAUUAUUGUAUUGUAUUAUAACAGCUUUACUGUAUAAUAUAUUGUGUAAUUGUCAUAUAAUAAACUGUAUCUGUACAAUUUGGUGUUUUGACAUAUGUAUACACCUGUGAAACCAUUACCACAAUCAAGAUAAUGAAUAUAUCCAUCACUCCCCAAAAGUUCUUCUAUUAACCGUUUGUUAUCCCUCUUUCUUACCCCUCCCACUGCUCC